GCCCAAUUAGCUCAGUGGUUAGAGCGAGUGAUUGCAGUUAUAUCUGAUUAUCACUAGGUCGCUUGUUCGAGUCAGGCAUUGGGCU
This is a non-coding RNA of Glutinoglossum americanum, 85 nucleotides long. The record is from the annotation of a GenBank genome assembly. Lineage: Eukaryota; Fungi; Ascomycota; Geoglossomycetes; Geoglossales; Geoglossaceae.